Molecule: transfer RNA, 63 nt
Filed under: Saccostrea sp. ID133
Lineage: Eukaryota; Metazoa; Mollusca; Bivalvia; Ostreida; Ostreidae
Description: tRNA-Lys
Rfam family: tRNA
About the family: Transfer RNA (tRNA) molecules are approximately 80 nucleotides in length. Their secondary structure includes four short double-helical elements and three loops (D, anti-codon, and T loops).
Source: RNAcentral
GGGGUCGUAGCUUAAGAAGAGCUUCGAGCUUUUAACUCGAGUGUGGGUGUAUCUCCGACUUCA